AGAGUUUGAUCCUGGCUCAGGACGAACGCUGGCGGCGUGCUUAACACAUGCAAGCCGAACGAGAGAUCUGAAGUGCUUGCACUUUAGUGAUCUAGUGGCGAACGGGUGAGGAACACGUGAGCAACCUGUCCUACGGCGGGGGAUAGCCGGUCCAACGACCGGGUAAUACCGCGUAAUUCGGUUGACCUUAUGGUUGACUGUGAAAGCGGCCUUCGGGUCGCGCCGGAGGAGGGGCUCGCGUCCUAUCAGCUUGUUGGUGAGGUAACGGCUCACCAAGGCUACGACGGGUAGCUGGUCUGAGAGGAUGAUCAGCCACAUUGGGACUGAGAUACGGCCCAGACUCCUACGGGAGGCAGCAGUGGGGAAUAUUGCGCAAUGGCCGAAAGGCUGACGCAGCGACGCCGUGUGUGGGAUGACAGCCUUAGGGUUGUAAACCACUGUCAGGAGGGACGAAUGCCCGACGGUUAAUACCCGUUUGGGAGUGACGGUACCUCCAAAGGAAGCACCGGCUAACUCCGUGCCAGCAGCCGCGGUAAUACGGAGGGUGCGAGCGUUGUCCGGAAUCACUGGGCGUAAAGAGUACGUAGGCGGUUUUUUAAGUCACCUGUGAAAUUUCGGGGCUCAACCCCGAACCUGCAGGUGAGACUGGAAGACUUGAGCACGGUAGGGGCAAGUGGAAUUCCCGGUGUAGCGGUGGAAUGCGUAGAUAUCGGGAAGAACAUCGGUGGCGAAGGCGACUUGCUGGGCCGUAUGCUGACGCUGAGGUACGAAAGCGUGGGGAGCAAACAGGAUUAGAUACCCUGGUAGUCCA
Molecule: ribosomal RNA, 811 nt
Filed under: uncultured deep-sea bacterium
Lineage: Bacteria
Description: bacterial SSU rRNA
Rfam family: Bacterial small subunit ribosomal RNA
Source: RNAcentral